Nomascus leucogenys (northern white-cheeked gibbon) is the source of this 217-nucleotide long non-coding RNA. RefSeq lists it as uncharacterized. The record is from RefSeq and is a predicted model, not a curated record. NCBI's taxonomy places the organism in Eukaryota, Metazoa, Chordata, Mammalia, Primates, Hylobatidae. The transcript has 2 exons.
AAGGACCCACCCUGCUGACACCUUGAUCUUGGACCCAUGGCCUCCAGUACUGCGAGAUGGUCCAUGGAAGAGUUGUCUUCAAGAAAACUGCUCUCUGGUGCCAAAAAGUUUGGAGACCGCUGAUGUAAAUGUUUCUAAGAAUAGUUAAGCAACUUAAACUUUACAUGCUACGAAGAAUACAGGUUUAAAUGCUAAUAAAAAUAGGUGCAAAUGAAAA